CCUACGGGAGGCAGCAGUGAGGAAUAUUGGUCAAUGGGCGCGAGCCUGAACCAGCCACGUAGCGUGAAGGAUGACUGCCCUACGGGUUGUAAACUUCUUUUAUAACGGAAUAAAGUGAGGCACGUGUGCCUCUUUGUAUGUAUUUUAUGAAUAAGGAUCGGCUAACUCCGUGCCAGCAGCCGCGGUAAUACGGAGGAUCCGAGCGUUAUCCGGAUUUAUUGGGUUUAAAGGGAGCGUAGAUGGGUUGUUAAGUCAGUUGUGAAAGUUUGCGGCUCAACCGUAGAAUUGCAAUUGAUACUGGCAGUCUUGAGGACAGUUGAGGUAGGCGGAAUUCGUGGUGUAGCGGUGAAAUGCUUAGAUAUCACGAAGAACCCCGAUUGCGAAGGCAGCUUACUAAACUGUGACUGACAUUGAUGCUCGAAAGUGUGGGUAUCAAACAGGAUUAGAUACCCCAGUAGUC
RNAcentral lists this ribosomal RNA (460 nucleotides) under uncultured bacterium. Its description in RNAcentral is "partial 16S ribosomal RNA". It matches the Rfam family "Bacterial small subunit ribosomal RNA", at positions 338 to 795 of the family's 1533-position model. The record is from RNAcentral.